GGGGAAUAUUGCACAAUGGGGGGAACCCUGAUGCAGCGACGCCGCGUGAGGGAAGAAGGUUUUUGGAUUGUAAACCUCUGUCCUUGGUAAAGAAGCAAGACGGUAGCCAAGGAGGAAGCCACGGCUAACUACGUGCCAGCAGCCGCGGUAAUACGUAGGUGGCAAGCGUUGUCCGGAAUUACUGGGUGUAAAGGGAGCGUAGGCGGUUAUGCAAGUUGAAUGUGAAAUCUAUCGGCUCAACUGAUAGGCUGCGUUCAAAACUGUAUAUCUUGAGUGAAGUAGAGGCAGGCGGAAUUCCUAGUGUAGCGGUGAAAUGCGUAAAUAUUAGGGGGAACACCAGUGGCGAAGGCGGCCUGCUGGGCUUUAACUGACGCUGAGGCUCGAAAGCGUGGGUAGCAAACAG
This 403-nucleotide ribosomal RNA is filed under the name uncultured bacterium. RNAcentral's name for it is "bacterial SSU rRNA". It matches the Rfam family "Bacterial small subunit ribosomal RNA", at positions 356 to 775 of the family's 1533-position model. The record is from RNAcentral.